UAACGACUCUCGGCAACGGAUAUCUCGGCUCUCGCAUCGAUGAAGAACGCAGCAAAAUGCGAUACUUGGUGUGAAUUGCAGAAUCCCGUGAAUCAUCGAGUUUUUGAACGCAAGUUGCGCCCGAAGCCUUCCGGCCAAGGGCACGUCUGCCUGGGUGUCACGC
RNAcentral lists this ribosomal RNA (163 nucleotides) under Dalechampia fragrans. RNAcentral's name for it is "5.8S ribosomal RNA". It matches the Rfam family "5.8S ribosomal RNA". Rfam says of the family: 5.8S ribosomal RNA (5.8S rRNA) is a component of the large subunit of the eukaryotic ribosome. It is transcribed by RNA polymerase I as part of the 45S precursor that also contains 18S and 28S rRNA. Lineage: Eukaryota; Viridiplantae; Streptophyta; Magnoliopsida; Malpighiales; Euphorbiaceae. The record is from RNAcentral.